CAAAGAAUAGUUUAAUUUUAAAAUUAUAAUUUUGGAAAUUAUUGAUAAAGAUUUAUCUUUUUCUUUGA
RNAcentral lists this transfer RNA (68 nucleotides) under Chorodna fulgurita. RNAcentral's name for it is "tRNA-Pro". It matches the Rfam family "tRNA". From Rfam's summary of the family: Transfer RNA (tRNA) molecules are approximately 80 nucleotides in length. Their secondary structure includes four short double-helical elements and three loops (D, anti-codon, and T loops). Further hydrogen bonds mediate the characteristic L-shaped molecular structure. tRNAs have two regions of fundamental functional importance: the anti-codon, which is responsible for specific mRNA codon recognition, and the 3' end, to which the tRNAs corresponding amino acid is attached (by aminoacyl-tRNA synthetases). tRNAs cope with the degeneracy of the genetic code in two manners: having more than one tRNA (with a specific anti-codon) for a particular amino acid; and 'wobble' base-pairing, i.e. permitting non-standard base-pairing at the 3rd anti-codon position. The record is from RNAcentral. Lineage: Eukaryota; Metazoa; Arthropoda; Insecta; Lepidoptera; Geometridae.